AAAUGCGAUAAGUAAUGUGAAUUGCAGAAUUCAGUGAAUCAUCGAAUCUUUGAACGCACCUUGCGCUCCUUGGUAUUCCUUGGAGCAUGCCUGUUUGAGUAUCAUGAAAUCUUCAAAGUAAAUCUUUUGUUAACUCAAUUGGUUUCUACUUUGGCAUUGGAGGUCUUUGCAGCUUCACACCUGCUCCUCUUUGUUCAUUAGCUGGAUCUCAGUGUUAUGCUUGGUUCCACUCGGCGUGAUAAGUUAUCUAUCGCUGAGGACACUGUAAAAGGUGGCCAAGGUAAAUGCAGAUGAACCGCUUCUAAUAGUCCAUUGACUUGGACAAUACUUUUAUGAUCUGAUCUCAAAUCAGGUAGGACUACCCGCUGAACUUAAGC
RNAcentral lists this unclassified non-coding RNA (377 nucleotides) under plant metagenome. RNAcentral describes it as "partial contains 5.8S ribosomal RNA, internal transcribed spacer 2, and large subunit ribosomal RNA". The stretch from base 1 to 104 matches the Rfam family "5.8S ribosomal RNA", at positions 51 to 154 of the family's 154-position model. The record is from RNAcentral.